UCCGGAUUAGAUACCCUGGUAGUCCACGCCCUAAACGAUGAUUACUAGAUGUGUGCAAUAUACCGUACGCGUCACAGCUAAAGCGUUAAGUAAUCCACCUGGGGAGUACGGUCGCAAGACUGAAACUCAAAGGAAUUGACGGGGGCCCGCACAAGCAGCGGAGCGUGUGGUUUAAUUCGAUGCAACGCGAACAACCUUACCUACCCUUGACAUGUCCGGAAGGCUGCUGAAAGGCGGUUGUGCCCGAAAGGGAACCGGAACACAGGUGCUGCAUGGCUGUCGUCAGCUCGUGUCGUGAGAUGUUGGGUUAAGUCCCGCAACGAGCGCAACCCUUGUCCUUAGUUGCUACGCAAGGGCACUCUAAGGAGACUGCCGGUGACAAACCGGAGGAAGGUGGGGA
This 400-nucleotide unclassified non-coding RNA is filed under the name uncultured Gammaproteobacteria bacterium. RNAcentral describes it as "contains 16S-23S intergenic spacer region". It matches the Rfam family "Bacterial small subunit ribosomal RNA", at positions 772 to 1179 of the family's 1533-position model. The record is from RNAcentral. Lineage: Bacteria; Pseudomonadati; Pseudomonadota; Gammaproteobacteria.